Molecule: ribosomal RNA, 444 nt
Filed under: Fusarium oxysporum
Lineage: Eukaryota; Fungi; Ascomycota; Sordariomycetes; Hypocreales; Nectriaceae
Description: eukaryotic LSU rRNA
Rfam family: 5.8S ribosomal RNA (bases 94-247)
Source: RNAcentral
CAGCCCGCUCCCGGUAAAACGGGACGGCCCGCCAGAGGACCCCUAAACUCUGUUUCUAUAUGUAACUUCUGAGUAAAACCAUAAAUAAAUCAAAACUUUCAACAACGGAUCUCUUGGUUCUGGCAUCGAUGAAGAACGCAGCAAAAUGCGAUAAGUAAUGUGAAUUGCAGAAUUCAGUGAAUCAUCGAAUCUUUGAACGCACAUUGCGCCCGCCAGUAUUCUGGCGGGCAUGCCUGUUCGAGCGUCAUUUCAACCCUCAAGCACAGCUUGGUGUUGGGACUCGCGUUAAUUCGCGUUCCUCAAAUUGAUUGGCGGUCACGUCGAGCUUCCAUAGCGUAGUAGUAAAACCCUCGUUACUGGUAAUCGUCGCGGCCACGCCGUUAAACCCCAACUUCUGAAUGUUGACCUCGGAUCAGGUAGGAAUACCCGCUGAACUUAAGCAUA